RNAcentral lists this long non-coding RNA (894 nucleotides) under Ananas comosus (pineapple). RNAcentral's name for it is "long non-coding RNA (ACOM_LNC026776)". Lineage: Eukaryota; Viridiplantae; Streptophyta; Magnoliopsida; Poales; Bromeliaceae. The record is from RNAcentral.
UCGGGAACAGUAGUUCCCGAGAAUCUGGAACUAGCUGGAAUAAGGCUGGAACUGCUAUUCCACCCGUUUCUUGGAACAAGCUUGUUCCUUGAUGAGAACAAGAUUAAUUAAAAUCUAAAUUUAAUUUUAAUGGCAAUAAAUUAUUAAUUAAUCUAAUUAAUAUAUUUAAAUUAUUAUUUGUUAUUUUAAUAAUUAAAUAAUUAAAUAAUUUAUUAUUUAUAAUUAAUUAUUAAUAAUUAGAUAAUAAUUAUUAUUAAUUUAUUAUUUAUAAUUAAUUAUUAAUAAUUAAUAAUAAAUAAUAAAUUAAUAAUAAUUAUUAUCUAAUUAUUAAUAAUUAAUUAUUAUUAAUUAAUUUUUUAUUUAUUUUUAAGUAAUAUUUUUAUGUUAAUUAAUUACAUAAUAUAAUUUUAAUUUCAAAUUAUAACGUUUAUUCCUCUUGUUCCAAUCUAAUCAUCCAAACACUAUUUACCUUAUUCCUAGGAACAACCCAAUUUUCAUCCAAACGCAAAAUUGGUCUAGUUCCUGCUUAUACCUGAACUUGUACCUAUCCCUAGAACUAGCAGUUCUUACUUAUACCCGAACCAAACGCAGCCUAAAGUGUACACCCUAUUCCUACAAUGAACCUACUGCAGCCAACAUGCACCGCAAGGACACAAAUGGCUAGGGACCAAGUGUAUGUAUAGUCAAACUAUAGUAACCUCAUUGUGAAUAGUCGAGGCACCGCAGGUCAAAGGACCAGUCACACUACUGCAACAUUGAGUAAGUCACCGACGAGUGAGUAGACAUCCAAGUGACUUCUCGCGUUGGUCACGCUCGGUACCCUUGUUCUCUAACAACCACCUGCAUAUUCGCUUCAGUGUCCCCACACUGUCAACUCGAGACUCGUUUACCCAA